UACAGAGGGUGCGAGCGUUAAUCGGAAUUACUGGGCGUAAAGCGCACGUAGACGGUUUGGUAAGUCAGAUGUGAAAUCCCCGGGCUCAACCUGGGAACUGCACUUGAUACUGCCUGGCUAGAGUAUCGAAGAGGGAAGUGGAAUUUCCGGUGUAGCGGUGAAAUGCGUAGAUAUCGGAAGGAACACCGAUGGCGAAGGCAGGUCUCUGGGCUGACACUGACGCUCAUGCACGAAAGCGUGGGGAGCAAACAGG
Molecule: ribosomal RNA, 253 nt
Filed under: uncultured bacterium
Lineage: Bacteria
Description: partial 16S ribosomal RNA
Rfam family: Bacterial small subunit ribosomal RNA
Source: RNAcentral